AUUGAACGCUGGCGACAUGCCUUACACAUGCAAGUCGAACGGUAACAGGUCUUCGGAUGCUGACGAGUGGCGAACGGGUGAGUAAUACAUCGGAACGUGCCUAGUAGUGGGGGAUAACUACUCGAAAGAGUGGCUAAUACCGCAUGAGAUCUACGGAUGAAAGCAGGGGAUCGCAAGACCUUGUGCUACUAGAGCGGCCGGUGGCAGAUUAGGUAGUUGGUGGGAUAAAAGCUUACCAAGCCGACGAUCUGUAGCUGGUCUGAGAGGACGAUCGGCCACACUGGGACUGAGACACGGCCCAGACUCCUACGGGAGGCAGCAGUGGGGAAUUUUGGACAAUGGGCGAAAGCCUGAUCCAGCAAUGCCGCGUGCAGGAUGAAGGCCUUCGGGUUGUAAACUGCUUUUGUACGGAACGAAAAGCCCCGGGUUAAUACCCUGGGGUCAUGACGGUACCGUAAGAAUAAGCACCGGCUAACUACGUGCCAGCCGCCGCGGUAA
RNAcentral lists this ribosomal RNA (498 nucleotides) under uncultured bacterium. RNAcentral's name for it is "partial 16S ribosomal RNA". It matches the Rfam family "Bacterial small subunit ribosomal RNA", at positions 30 to 523 of the family's 1533-position model. The record is from RNAcentral.